This 1368-nucleotide ribosomal RNA is filed under the name Pinus taeda (loblolly pine). Its description in RNAcentral is "bacterial SSU rRNA". It matches the Rfam family "Bacterial small subunit ribosomal RNA", at positions 8 to 1205 of the family's 1533-position model. Lineage: Eukaryota; Viridiplantae; Streptophyta; Pinopsida; Pinales; Pinaceae. The record is from RNAcentral.
AGAGUUUGAUCCUGGCUCAGAAACGAACGCUAUCUAUAUUGCUUAAACAUGCAAGUCGAACGUGCUUGCUUCCCCAUUCCAUCCACGUGGGGGCAGAAGGGCAAGAUGAAAUGCCCCCUCUUAGCGCAUGCUCACUCACUCAAAUGAUAUGUGAGUGGUGGGCGUGGGGCAUAGCAAGCAAACUUGUGGAAAAUGGGUGCGUUACGCGUGGGAAUCUACUAAAUAGUUCACUCCAAAUCCUAAAUAAUUCAUAAAGCAAGCUAAUUGCGCUGUUUCGAUGAGCCCACGUAGUAUCAGGUAGUUGUUUAGGUAAGGCUGACCAAGCCAAUGAUGCUUAGCUGGUUUUUUCGGAUGAUCAGCCACACUAGGACUAAGACACAACCCAGACUCCCUUGGGGAGUAGAAGUGGGGGAUAUUGGACAAUGGGCUCACGCCUAAUCCAACAAUAUCGCAUGGGUGAAGAAGGGAAUUGUCGCUUUUCAAGCUUUUUCGUCGAGUUUUGAUCAUGACAAGACUCGAGGAAGAAGCCCCAGCUAACUCUGUGCCAGGGCAGCCGCGGGUAAUACGGGGGGGGGCAAGUGUUAUUCGGAAUAGACUGGCGUAAAGGGCACGUAGGCGCGUUGAAAGGGUGGAAAGUGAAAGUCGCCAAAACACUGCGGGGUGCUUCUUGACCAUUUCACUUGAGGAGGAUAGGGAGAGUUGGAUUUCUGUGGAGGGAUCAAAUCCUAAGAUAUACGAAGGAACGCCAACCACAAAGGCAACUCUCUAGGUCCCCACUGACGCUGGGGUGCAAAAGCAUGGGGAGCAAACAAGAUCAGAUACCCUAGGAGUCCAUGCUGUAAGCGAUGAGUGUUCAUCCUUGGUCUGCCUACCUACUAGGUAGGAUUAGCGUUAGGGGCCUAGCUAACGAGUGAAACACUUUACCUAGGGAGUACGGUCGCAAGAUUGAAACUCAAAUGAAUUGACAAGGGCCUACACAAGUGGUGGAGCAUGUGGUUUAAUUCGAUACAAGCGCAGAACCUUCCAGCCCUUGACAUAUGACAGUGGUGGCCUGUCCUUACGGGAUGGUGCGAAAAAUUCAUACAGGUUGCUGCAUGGCUGUCGUCAGCUUCGGUGUCGUGAGAUGUUUGGUUAGUCCUAUAAUUUUAGCGAAACCUUGGUUUUGUUUUGCCUGAGUAAUGCGGCUCACGGAUCAAUGUCAUCGCCGCCUUCUCAAGGGCGAGGGUGAGUAAGCUAACUCUUAGAGGCAAGCGCCUCUUUUUGAUUCAUGACACUUCUAUGAAGGCAGGUGUGUGCUGCACUCACAAGAGACUGCUAGUGAUAUGUUGGAGGAAGGUGGGGAUGAUGUCAAGUCUGCAUGGCCCUUAU